This 379-nucleotide ribosomal RNA is filed under the name Actinomycetota bacterium. RNAcentral's name for it is "partial 23S ribosomal RNA". It matches the Rfam family "Bacterial large subunit ribosomal RNA", at positions 2547 to 2925 of the family's 2925-position model. The record is from RNAcentral. Lineage: Bacteria; Bacillati; Actinomycetota.
CUGGGGCUGGAGUAGGUCCCAAGGGUUGGGCUGUUCGCCCAUUAAAGCGGCACGCGAGCUGGGUUUAGAACGUCGUGAGACAGUUCGGUCCCUAUCCGCCGCGCGCGCAGGAAACUUGAGAAAGGCUAUCCCUAGUACGAGAGGACCGGGAUGGACGGACCUCUGGUGUGCCAGUUGUUCUGCCAAGAGCACGGCUGGUUAGCUACGUUCGGAAGUGAUAACCGCUGAAAGCAUCUAAGCGGGAAGCACGUUUCAAGAUGAGGUUUCCCACAGGGUCAACCUGGUAAGGCCCCCAGCAGAUGACUGGGUUGAUAGGCCGGAGGUAGAAGGCAGCGAUGCACGGAGCCGACCGGUACUAAUAGGCCGAGGGCUUGUCCCA